GAGCCAUUUCACUGAAACGACUUUUAUUUAGGUCUUGGUAACUAAAGAUCAACUCACGAAAUUGGGAAUACUCAUAAAAACUCCCGAGGUAAACUCGAUAAGAACUGAACUGCAGCUUUUUUUAAGGACUGGAGAAAACUCAGAUAUUCAUUUGGGCCAAUGGACUUUGUAUCCGGCUAAUAAAUAAAUAAAUAAUAAAUAAAAAUAAAAAACUCAGAUACGUCUCAAGGCAAGCUCUGGACUGGCACCCCAGUACCAAGCCACCUGAGGCGAACCUGGCAGCGGAGAUGAAGACAAUCUGGUUAGCCGGAACCGAAGUAAAGCGCAUAGCCGAAGACCGAUCGGUAUGGCUUCUUCUUGAAGCCUUAUGCCUCACCUGGAAGCUUUAUAUCCUUAAACAACAACAACAAAUCAGGCAAUACUCUACAAUUGCACCCAUUUAAGUUGAGUUUUUUGCAAUUACAAUUAGACACAAGAAAAUACUGAAUUAAAUAAAUAAAAAUUGACUGAUUACUUCUUAUUUCCAUGUAUGAAUGGGCUCAAAAUUAAAUAAACCACUAUUUGUCAUUAUUAGAACUAUUAUUAAUAUUAAGUUUAUUAUGCUACUAACAACAUGUAAACCGAUCCCCUUUGCAUGCAGACUCAUUCGCAUUAGUUUUCAACAAAAUAAGUAGGUAAAUAAAGUUUUAGUUUAACAAAACUGAAA
Long non-coding RNA from Bombyx mori (domestic silkworm), 706 nucleotides. RefSeq lists it as uncharacterized. NCBI's taxonomy places the organism in Eukaryota, Metazoa, Arthropoda, Insecta, Lepidoptera, Bombycidae. The transcript is spliced from 2 exons. The record is from RefSeq and is a predicted model, not a curated record.